GCGAACGCUGGCGGCAGGCCUAACACAUGCAAGUCGAGCGGCCGUAGCAAUACGGCAGCGGCAGACGGGAUAGUAACACGUGGGAACGUGCCCUUUGGUUCGGAAUAACUCGGCGAAAGCCGUGCUAAUACCGGAUAAGCCCUUACGGGGAAAGAUUUAUCGCCAUUGGAGCGGCCCGCGUCUGAUUAGCUAGUUGGUGAGGUAAUGGCUCACCAAGGCGACGAUCAGUAGCUGGUCUGAGAGGAUGAUCAGCAUCACUGGGACUGAGACACGGCCCAGACUCCUACGGGAGGCAGCAGUGGGGAAUAUUGGACAAUGGGCGCAAGCCUGAUCCAGCCAUGCCGCGUGGAUGAUGAAGGCCUUAGGGUUGUAAAGUCCUUUUAACGGGGAAGAUAAUGACGGUACCCGUAGAAUAAGCCCCGGCUAACUUCGU
RNAcentral lists this ribosomal RNA (433 nucleotides) under uncultured bacterium. RNAcentral describes it as "bacterial SSU rRNA". It matches the Rfam family "Bacterial small subunit ribosomal RNA", at positions 29 to 506 of the family's 1533-position model. The record is from RNAcentral.